UCUUCAGAAAACUUGGGUUUUCUUCCUUUUUGCAUCAAAGACUCCACCUUUUCUUCAUGAAAACCUUCCUUUAUCAUGGUGUGGACUUCUAGCUAGCAUUGAGGGAGUGGAGAGUGCCUUCUUGAAAGCUUUAGGGUCUGUUUUCUGUGCAUUCAAGGGGCUGAUAUCUUGGUUAAGUGAGUGGAAACCAUCUCCUUGGGUGUUGGAGCUUCGAGUGGUGAGCUUUGUGAAGAAAGAGCCAAUCUUGUUGCUCAUUUUUGUGGCUUUGUAAAGUCAGAUUGUUAGAGCUGUAUUGUGAGCUCCAAGAGAACCAUUGUUUCUGUUUCAAGCCUUGGUGAUUGUGAUUGUGCUGUUUCUGGACCUUGGGCUGUGGUGGACUCUUGGCUUGGGAUUUAUUGCUUAAGAGAGACAACUGCGAAAUUGAUCUGAAAAAGAUGUCGACUGGCCAAUCACGGAUUGAGGUUGAAAAGUUCGAAGGAAAGGGGUUCGAGUUAUGAAAAUUGAAGGUGGAGGCUUUGCUCGUUGACAGGGACGUGUGGCACGUGAUGGAAGAUGAGAAGCCAUUGGUACCAACGAAAACUAUCAAUGACGGAAUGUCGGAAAAAGACGAGUCGAAGGAGUCAAAGGAGUUGAAGGCGUGGACCAGAGAUGGUAGUCUCCCUAAUUAGCCUCUCGUUGUCCGCUGCCCAACAAUGGUAUCAGAGUCGGGUUGGGCUCGGGCUAAUCAGGUGAUUGGCUAGAGGUGAGUUUAGUACUUUGAGCCUGUAUAUUUGGAGUUGAGAGGGAGCAUACCAAUAUUGAGUUUUACACUUGAGGGUGAGAUUGUUGGGAUAUUCAAGUGUGACGAGUUUCACAUUGAUUGAUA
Gastrolobium bilobum is the source of this 865-nucleotide long non-coding RNA. RefSeq lists it as uncharacterized. Lineage: Eukaryota; Viridiplantae; Streptophyta; Magnoliopsida; Fabales; Fabaceae. The transcript has 3 exons. The record is from RefSeq and is a predicted model, not a curated record.